AGCGAACGCUGGCGGCAGGCCUAACACAUGCAAGUCGAACGAACCUUUCGGGGUUAGUGGCGGACGGGUGAGUAACACGUGGGAACGUGCCUUUAGGUUCGGAAUAACUCAGGGAAACUUGUGCUAAUACCGAAUGUGCCCUUCGGGGGAAAGAUUUAUCGCCUUUAGAGCGGCCCGCGUCUGAUUAGCUAGUUGGUUGAGGUAAUGGCUCACCAAGGCGACGAUCAGUAGCUGGUCUGAGAGGAUGAUCAGCCACAUCGGGACUGAGACACGGCCCAAACUCCUACGGGAGGCAGCAGUGGGGAAUCUUGCGCAAUGGGCGAAAGCCUGACGCAGCCAUGCCGCGUGAAUGAUGAAGGUCUUAGGAUUGUAAAAUUCUUUCACCGGGGACGAUAAUGACGGUACCCGGAGAAGAAGCCCCGGCUAACUUCGUG
RNAcentral lists this ribosomal RNA (434 nucleotides) under uncultured bacterium. Its description in RNAcentral is "partial 16S ribosomal RNA". It matches the Rfam family "Bacterial small subunit ribosomal RNA", at positions 29 to 507 of the family's 1533-position model. The record is from RNAcentral.